GCAGAUAUAAUGCAUACGAUGCCUACUGUCCUCUCUAAUUUACGCUUAAUAUAAUGGCGCUUUCCUUACACUUUGCUCGUAACUGGAGGGACGCUGCAGAAGGUGACGUGCAACGUUACUUUGGUUGCGGCCACAGUUAUCCCCGCAGACGCAACCGAAACCGAAACGGACCUCUCGUGUUGAGACGUCUUAACAAUGGGGUGGGUAUUCUGCAAGGUAAACAUUGCGCAAUACUGCAUUGCGGAUGCCAUCGGCUUGCCGCCGUUGCCACAUUUGAAUUAUCCCAUACCCCGCGUCCAUACCCACAUCUUGCGUUGUCACCGCUGGUCAUCGCUUUGAGAACUUAAGCGGGCUGACCUGCCUGCGACAAAGUUGACAUCGCCUGAGUACAGCCAUCAAUCAACUCUCCAUGGCGCCAAGGUAUUGUGUUGUGAAGAGCUGCGGCAAGAAAGAAGGCGACAACGUUGUGUUUCACUACUUUCCUUCCGACGACGAUCAAAGGAAAGUCUGGACCGAGUUCGUGCAGGCCGUCCGAGGUACCAGUUGGACGCCGGGAAGGCGCAGUCAGGUAUGCUCCCUGCACUUCUCGUCGGACUGUUACCUAUACAACAUGCAGUACUGCGCCGACUUUGGUCUGCCGACGAGGCGAAACUACCUGAAGAAGGGUUCAGUGCCUACUUUGUACCCUGCUGGUGCAGUACUCAUCACUGCCCCGCCCACGUGUCCAGGAACGAAUGUGCGUAAUAUUGCGACUGGCACUGCUGUUGGGAUCAUACACACUGACUCCUGGAGCAGUGGAAGUUGCAUUCACAUGUGCGGUGCACCAAGCACAGAUCCACCACUGGGACCAACUCGCAAUUACACUAUAAUGGCAAGUGUAGCUGUUGCAACUCUUCCAAUGGGGAAAGUCAGUGCAGUCACUCAAUGCUCAUUGCCACUAACAGUGAAAUCAACACAGGCCAUGCUGAGUAAAAGGACGAGGAAUGUUGGAGUGCAAGCAGAAGUGAAAACAAGAACUCCAGGGUACACCAAAAGGCAACCUUGACACAACUGGCCAAGCAUAAAUGGAAUACCUGUCUUUUGGGCCUGCUGGCUUUCAAGCAUUGCAGGUUUCCAGACUGAUUAUGUACAUCUUGAUGUUGUGCUCUCUUCAAAGAUGUUUCCCGAAUGCUCAGCAGCACUGCCUACAGGACCAGUAAUUCUGGGCAAACUGAAUGGCUGGAACGUAUCACUCAGCCAUAAGAAACCAUUUGUGUUCAACAAAGACUUGGUGCAACUAUGACCUCAUUAUAUAGAGGUCCAGCUGUGCGGAGUCCUAUUUGCAUUCGCCGCGUAUGACAGGUUCGCAAAUGAGGUGCGAUUGUCAGAAUCAAGUGGCUACUGGAUGACAUCUAGCAGAUAUCACCACAGCUUACAAGUAUACGGUGUUGAUCCCUUGUCUUGCUCACUACCUACCUUCAAGAGCUGCACCUGAUCCCUCUGUGUAAUACUGUCAAGGCUAUAGGACCUCCUUUUGGCACAGUUGAACGACCUUUGAGUUGUUGUAAAGUGGGCUGUCUUGCAGACUGUUACCGUGGUCGGCAUCCCUUUCAAGUUGUUGUGGCUCGUGGUAAUGCACACCGGCAGUCCGACCAGUGAGGGACUGGCCGUGCCUCUGCACUGACAUCACACUUUCAUGGUUGUCCAUUUAUCCAUUGGUCAGACACAUAGGUAGUGACGGUUGCCUCUGAGAAGCCUCUGAGUAACAGGAACCGAUGUCAAGGCUGCCAUGUUUUAGUUUGGUGCUGGCAGGAAAUCUUGCAACAUAGAAAAUUGUCCAUGACAUCUCUAGAGUAAUAAAAAGUCGUUGCAGCUGUUUGUAGUCCGCAGUCUCAGCGUUUGAUACAAUAGCUAUUCCACUGCCUAAUCUGCAUAUGUUUCGAAUUGCUAAGUUUCUGUCGCCCUUGAUGCCCUCCAUCAAGAUGAUGCAGGAAAGAGGCAGGCACACCGAUGCAAACAGGUGUGCAUUUACAGGAGAGAGAGAGAGCAAGAAAAUGACAUCCAAGCAGCAGCCACCAUCCAUCUUCUCUCAAGACACCUUCAGUGUUCUCUUCCCCGCAACAAUAUUACAGCGUAAGCUGUUAUGGGCUCAUUCCAACAGCCAUUUCGGGUGGCGAUAGUAUCCGCCGCAGCUGCCGGUGUCCGGUGUUCGUAGCAGCUAUCACCGGGAAUCAGAAAAAAAAUGACCGGUUCCCACCGGGAUCGAACCCGGGCCCGCGGCGUGGGAAUCAGCUGCUCUACCACUGAGCCGCGCCAGUGCUUGCUAGCAUGCAGUGUAAAAAUGUCCUAUAAACACAUCCUACCACGCGAGGAGACACGCGAUGUGACAUGUGUGCCGCCUAGCAUCGAUACGUGCACAUUUUACAUUGCAGUUGCAUACUAUUACACCGUGUAGAACGCCAUGUAGCACAUGCACAGGUAGCGGUACAAAGCAGUUAAAGAAGGUUUGAGAAAGAAAAGGAAGAUUAUAGAGAUGCAUAAAUCUUAGGAAAUGGCAUUAAAUCAUCAUCAUUACCACCGUAUCAUGCCAUUUCACCUGCACGUCACGUAGCUUCAAUGCAUACAGACUUUGCAUUGGAGUUCUGUUAUAUUCCCUCAGAGAGGUAUUCUGUAGUAGUCCACCUAGUGGACUGGCCAUUUCGGCCGCUGCUGAUUGGCUGGGGCCGCUCGUCUCCUCCUCACUCAUACAGCCGCAUCCAAUCAGCAGCGGCUGAAAUGGACAGUCCACUAGGUGGACUCUUACAGAGUACCCCCCAGGUGUCCCGACAUAUAGCAGUUGCAGAUAGCAGUUGCAUGCUUCAUUUAGCUGGACCUGGUAAACUAAGGCAGGCUAUGUGACUAUUUGUUACCACUCCGUUUCGAAAGGGAUGCCAACAAACCAUUAUUAUCAUCAUCGACAGCAACAGCAACAUACCGUGCCAUGUGUCAAAGCAUGUGGCAUGUGCGCCACAUAAUCUGGGUACCUGUGUUUACUCUUUGGUACAUGCUAUCGUGCCUCCUGGCUAGGUACUAAACAUAGAGCUACAUGCGCAGCUGCAACCAAGCAGCGUCGGGCUCAGCAAACCGCUUUGCAGAGAGCAGCACAAGACACAGUUCACUGUCAACACCGGGCAGACUGUUCAGAUCGUUCUCAUGAAAAUGACACAAAGAGACUUCACCGCAGUGCAUGCUGCCAAAAAUGAAGCUUCUAUGGAGCCGCUCCUCUGGCUUAUGCUGCAACUGCGCUGCAUGCACUGCGCAAGCCUGUGACUUUCAUUUAUCAUUGUCGCCGUCUGUACGCAUUAAGUCGAACAAUCUUCAAAUAUCAAAAAAUUAUGUUUAAGAAAUUUUUAGACAUUUCCUGGAUGAACUGUUGCAGGUAUAGAUACUUCAGAUAGUAAGCUCUCUAUCACUCCAAGAAAAGGGGAAUGCUUGAAAAUCGGUUGUCGGUCCCUUUAAGGCUCAUAUCUCAGGUUUUGUAUUCAAUUGAAAAUUGGUUACUUCUGUGCCCACAAGUAGUGUUUUCCUAUAAGUAGGGAUGUGACGUAAUAAAGAUGUCAGUUGAGAGUA
Dermacentor andersoni is the source of this 3588-nucleotide non-coding RNA. The record is from RefSeq and is a predicted model, not a curated record. Lineage: Eukaryota; Metazoa; Arthropoda; Arachnida; Ixodida; Ixodidae.